This 647-nucleotide long non-coding RNA is filed under the name Homo sapiens (human). Its description in RNAcentral is "HSALNT0061475". The record is from RNAcentral. Lineage: Eukaryota; Metazoa; Chordata; Mammalia; Primates; Hominidae.
UUCCCUGACUCCACUGAGCCCACACUCACCCCCUUCCUUGUUUACUCUUUUCCCUAUUGCAACUUAUAUUACUUACUAAUACUUUAUACUGUAGCACAGGGGUCAACAAAGUUUUCUGAAAAAGGGUUAGAGAGUAAAUAUUUUAAGCUUUGUGGGCCAUGCACUCUCAGUCACAGCUACUCAACUCUGCCCUUUCAACACAAAAGCAGCCACAGACCAUAUGUAAACAAAUGAUAGUGGAUGUGUUCUAAGAAAAUUUUGUUUAUGGACACUGAAAUUUGAAUUUUAUAGACUUUUCAUGUGUUACGAAAUUUUUUUUAACCAUUUGAAAUAUAAAAUGUAAAAAACCAGUUUUAGCUCCAAGACCUCACAGAACAGGCAGAUAUGGUCUGUGGCCCAUAGUUUGCUCACUCCUGCUCUAGCCCCACCCCUUCAAUCCACUCUGCACUCCACAGCUAGAGUUAUCGGUUAAAAAUUCAAAACACAAGCCGGGCGCGGUGGCUCAUGCCUGUAAUCCCAGCACUUUGGGAGGCUGAGGCAGGAGAAUGGCGUGAACGUGGGAGGCGGAGCUUGCAGUGAACCGAGAUCACGCCACUGCACUCUAGCCUGGGCGACAGAGCGAGACUCGGUCUCAAAAAAAAAAAAAA